This 253-nucleotide non-coding RNA is filed under the name uncultured Alphaproteobacteria bacterium. RNAcentral's name for it is "contains 16S-23S intergenic spacer region". It matches the Rfam family "Bacterial small subunit ribosomal RNA", at positions 524 to 776 of the family's 1533-position model. Lineage: Bacteria; Pseudomonadati; Pseudomonadota; Alphaproteobacteria. The record is from RNAcentral. RNAcentral also lists the same sequence under 1 other name.
UACGAAGGGGGCGAGCGUUGUUCGGAUUUACUGGGCGUAAAGGGCGCGUAGGCGGCGUGACAAGUCAGGCGUGAAAGCCCCGGGCUCAACCUGGGAAUGGCGCUUGGGACUGUCAUGCUCGAGUUCGGGAGAGGAGCGUGGAAUUCCCAGUGUAGAGGUGAAAUUCGUAGAUAUUGGGAAGAACACCGGUGGCGAAGGCGGCGCUCUGGACCGAGACUGACGCUGAGGCGCGAAAGCGUGGGGAGCAAACAGG